This 166-nucleotide ribosomal RNA is filed under the name uncultured bacterium. Its description in RNAcentral is "partial 16S ribosomal RNA". It matches the Rfam family "Bacterial small subunit ribosomal RNA", at positions 355 to 511 of the family's 1533-position model. The record is from RNAcentral.
UAGGGAAUCUUCGGCAAUGGACGAAAGUCUGACCGAGCAACGCCGCGUGAGUGAAGAAGGUUUUCGGAUCGUAAAACUCUGUUGGUAGAGAAGAACGUUGGUGAGAGUGGAAAGCUCAUCAAGUGACGGGUAACUACCCAGAAAGGGACGGCUAACUACGUGCCAG